GUCUGAAAAAAAAUAGAGAAUUAGGGUAUGGAUCUCUUUAUUUUCAGCCCAUCUGUCUAUCACACACAUCUGCCACUGCAUCAGAACAGGAGUUACCUCUGGAUUCAUUUUUCUGUCUGGCAGAAAAGCAGCUAAGGGUUGGGCAGGCGUCUGUGUUAGGCUUUUGAGUCCAGUCCACUACAGUCAAUUUGACUCACCUUUCCCAAAAUCCUCUAUCCAUCUGGACCAGGCAAAGAGAAUUAUUAGAAACUUCUGUUGGGGCUAUGAAGGGAGAUAAGGUGUCUGGUGAAGUGGUGAGGAUGGGGAUUGGAAAAGGCAUGAGUAAGGGAGAAAAGGCAAAAAGAAGGUAAAAAGAAAAAAAAAAAAGCUGGACAAGAAAAUUUUCCUGUGUGUAGAACACUACCCUGGGAUCCCGAAGGCUGAUUCAAGUCAUCCCUCCAGCACUGACCUAGAAUAUACCUUCAGUUAAGUCCUGUAAUUUCUUUGGGUUGUUCUACCCCCUGUCUCCAGCUGCAGAAGGUUGAAGGCAGGAGAGGAAAGAGGAAGGGUCUGGAUGAGGAAGAUCUGUCUGUGCCUCCAUGCCACUAAGCCUGUGCACAGUAGUCACGCGUCUCCCAUCACAUAAGGUUUGCAGUUAUGCAGCUGUGUAGCUCUCUUCCCUGUCUGCCUCAACCAGAUGUGUAAGCUUGUCUUGCUGUAGGAGCAUUUCCUCAUUCUUGUAAUGAGCUUGUGGCCUCAGGCCCCAGCUAUCUUCUGGCUGAGCAUUAGAUUUCCACUGCAGAAGACCAGGUUUGGUCCAUCUUCUCCAUGCCUGGGAAUGGUCUGAGUUCAAUGCCGUGGUGGCCCUUCUUUUCCUGGCUUAGCAGAGAGGGAGGAUCUUUGGGAGGCUGGAAAUGAAUGAGGCCCUGCCGUUUCUGCCAGGAAUGUCUUCAUUGCUUCAUUACUUCUACAUUUGCAUCUCUGGAUAACUUGAUGGAGAAAGCAGGUCAUGGUUUGAUUCUUCGUUAAUGAUAUUCACAAGGCUGACCGUAUGAAGAAAUGAUCAUGCUCUAAGUUGGUUUCCAUUUAAGGAACUUAUCUGCAAGGAAUGGAUGGGUGUUACAGGAAGAUUACAUGGCAGAUGGAGGAAGACAUGGGUUUCUAUUUUGAUGUAAUAGUAGAUAAGAGGAAUUGCACCUCUAAAGCAGCUCACUUGGGAGUGGGAUUGGAGCACAGCAAAUGAGGAGAAUGGACCAGUGGAUCUUCAUCCAGUAUCAAGAGAGGGGCAACACCACUUGGACAGGAGAGUGCCUGGAGGCUGGUAGGGCCAUUUGUCUUCUCCUUUGAUUGAGAGGAAGGUACAGUGUAUCUUGGUAUGUAUGCUCGUGUACGUGUGCUCACUUCUGAUAGAGCGCAAUCACCCAACAAGAACAGCAGAAGUGAGCAACUGUCCUUCUUUCUAUGCAAGGCCCAGGCAGUUUGUAGUCAUCUGUGGAUCCUUGCCUUCAAUUUUCCUAAUCUGUGCUGUAAAAAGUUCUUCCCCAAGCCAAGAAACACAGGCUUGAACCAGUUCAGAGUUUCUGUCAGCAGCAGCCGCCUGCACUAUCAGCGCUGGGCAGGGAGCUGGCAAGAGGCCAGGGCUGUGGCGCUUUCAGCUCUGCUCCUGACUGCAAUGUCUUGAGUGGGUUCAAAGUUGGGAAAAAUGCCUUUGCAUCUGUGAAUAUGAGCUUUUUACUUUUUUCUACAGCCAAUAUGUGUUUCUACAUACAAAUACUGCAAGUCUGGUGCUAGCAGUGCUAUCUGUUACUGUAAUAAAUUAUUCCUAUUAUGCAAAGACCCAGGUAAGUUUAUAAAGAACCAGCCCCAAACUCUAACCUGA
Molecule: long non-coding RNA, 1858 nt
Organism: Falco peregrinus (peregrine falcon)
Lineage: Eukaryota; Metazoa; Chordata; Aves; Falconiformes; Falconidae
Exons: 3
Source: RefSeq, a predicted model, not a curated record